AACGAACGCUGGCGGCAUGCCUAACACAUGCAAGUCGAACGAGACCUUCGGGUCUAGUGGCGCACGGGUGCGUACCGCGUGGGAACCUGCCCUUAGGUUCGGAAUAACUCCCCGAAAGGGGUGCUCAUACCGGAUAAUGUCUUCGGGCCAAAGAUUUAUCGCCUUUGGAUGGGCGCGGGUUGGUUUCGCUAGUUGGUAGGGUAAAAGCCUACCAAGGCGACGAUCCAUAGCUGGUCGGUGAGGAUGGUCAGCCACGCUGGGACUGAGACACGGCCCAGACUCCUACGGGAGGCAGCAGUGGGGAAUAUUGGACAAUGAGCGAAAGCCUGAUCCAGCAAUGCCGCGUGAGUGAUGAAGGCCUUAGGGUUGUAAAGCUCUUUUACCCGGGAUGAUAAUGACAGUACCGGGAGAAGAAGCACCGGCUAACUCCGUG
This 433-nucleotide ribosomal RNA is filed under the name uncultured bacterium. Its description in RNAcentral is "partial 16S ribosomal RNA". It matches the Rfam family "Bacterial small subunit ribosomal RNA", at positions 29 to 507 of the family's 1533-position model. The record is from RNAcentral.